UCCGAGUUGACCCCGGCAGUCUCCUACGAGUCCCCGGCAUUACCCGCUGGCAACAUAGGACAAGGGUUGCGCUCGUUGCGGGACUUAACCCAACAUCUCACGACACGAGCUGACGACAACCAUGCACCACCUGUGCAGGGCCCCGAAGGACACCGUAUCUCUACGGCUUUUCCCUGCAUGUCAAGCCCAGGUAAGGUUCUUCGCGUUGCCAUCAUUUAGUUGGGCACUCUGGAGGGACUGCCGGCGGCAAGCCGGAGGAAGGUGGGGAUGACGUCACACAGACUAUAC
RNAcentral lists this unclassified non-coding RNA (288 nucleotides) under uncultured Acidimicrobiia bacterium. RNAcentral's name for it is "contains 16S-23S intergenic spacer region". The record is from RNAcentral. Lineage: Bacteria; Bacillati; Actinomycetota; Acidimicrobiia.